UUCGUCCUCCCACCCGCAAUAGUGGAUCCAUCAACGGCGAUUUCAUCUUCCGCAUCGAAUUCAGUGGCUGUUGAUCUGGCCUCCCCACGACAGGUCCACCAUGGCUCCAGGGAAGAGGUCCACACGGACCUUAUAGACACCGGAAGAACCCGCGCUAGCUGAUUAUGAGAAAAUAAGGGCUAUGAAUGUGAUGUAGAACAAUCAAUUAUUUCAACGACUAGGCCUUGCACAAUUGAAAUCAUUGAUGACUGCUACAACUGCAAACAACAUACAAGACUGUCCUCAGCAAUCAGGGAGUUUAUAUGAUGGUGAAGACACCGAUGGUUCUAAUGAAGAGGAAUCCCAAAGUCGUAAGGGUGUUCGUGCCAACAUCUCCAACGAUGGUGAUCAGAUCUCAACAAAAGUAACAGGAGGAAAUAAAAGAAUUGUGGCACCUCCACAAGAGCGAACAAUUAGAGUUACUAGGCAAAGAAUUGCUGAAAUAAACCAAGAAACUACCCACAGCUUGUCUAUUCUUACGCAAGCCAAUUCAUGUCCUACUACAAACCAUGAAUCGAUUGAAACUCUUGUUGCUUCUUCGCAUCCUAGUUCAAAUUCUACCACAGAUCAUGACCCAACCCACAACAUAUAUAUUGCUACAGAGCAUAAUUCUUUGUUACAGGAGGAGGAUGAUAACCACAAUGUUGUUGAAGACUAGGAACAAUAGAAAUCAUACCAAGGAGAAAAAGUAUGGGCAAGCAACUUAAAUCGUUAAGCAGAGGACUGGGAAUGAAGAUUCCAAUCCAGAUUACUGAAGGGAACAAAAGGCCAGAGCCACCUUUUCAAGCUGCUAAGUUUGCAUGAGACGGGGGAAUCACAUUGAGGCAACACGUUCCAAUAUUUCACAAUUGGAAGGAGUACAAGAAGAAACAGAAUGAACCUACAAUAAGAAACUAUAUUGGAAAAGUUACUGCUCAAUUCACCAUGUACAAUGAAAGCAAGGCAGUGGAAGAUGCAUGUCUAGAUAUGCUAAAGGGUGGACAGCGCCAAAUGAGAUAUAGACUGAAACAAAAAUAUUUCAAUGGGAUACCUGCUAAUGAAGUCAGGACUUCAUCGCCUAUUCCAAGCAUGUCUGAUGAGGACUGGAGAAGGGGUCUACCACAAAACACAAGAAGCAACAUAAAUAUAAGGAUAUUGAACCGAGUGCAAUAGAUCUUUUCAAGGACAUGCAUUGCAGCAAGAAG
This 1223-nucleotide unclassified non-coding RNA is filed under the name Zea mays. Its description in RNAcentral is "misc RNA Zm00001eb233620". Lineage: Eukaryota; Viridiplantae; Streptophyta; Magnoliopsida; Poales; Poaceae. The record is from RNAcentral.